Molecule: non-coding RNA, 1284 nt
Organism: Cyanistes caeruleus (blue tit)
Lineage: Eukaryota; Metazoa; Chordata; Aves; Passeriformes; Paridae
Source: RefSeq, a predicted model, not a curated record
GCCGCCCUGGCUCCGCGGGCCGCGGGCAACCCCCGAACCCGCCGGGAGAAAUAAACCUUUAACAGCGCCUUUUUAAACCCUCCGGGACAGAUAAACCCUCUGGCACCUCCUUUUAGUGCAAGCGAGUAUUUGCAGCUGCCUCUGCUUGAGCAAGCUCCAUGUCUCUGCACGGCUCCCGUCUGCCUCCUGUGAGCAGUGAUAAUAUCACUUCCCUGCUCCCAAGACUGCUAAGAGCUGAAGCUCUGGGUUCCUCUGAGGAAGCACAGAGGUCGAACAUGUGAGAUGAGUACCCCAAAAACCUCAUGGUAAAUCCCCUCACAUUCAGAAAAUUGCCUUCCAAUCAUUUGAGAAGCUAUGAAAAAACCCAAGCCCACAAUACCCACAAUACCAAUGCUUUAAGCAGAGGUGGGGAGAGUGUGUCACAUUUAAAAAAAGAAGUGGACACAAAGGCACUUCUGUUUAAAAGCUUCCAGGGUACUCUGAAAUUCCAGCAAAGCCUGGCUGAGCAGGAUAGUAGGUGAUAGUCUGCAGCAGGCAUGGAGUUUAUACAACCUUGAACAUCGACUAGGAAUUUCAAUUAAAUAUGUAUUGCUGAACAGCUUUGAGCCACUGGUUGUUGCAUUUCUUGGAAGACGACCUUUGAUGGCUAAUUGGGGAGUAAUAUGAGAUAAAAAAGAAGCAUAAAUAACCUAAAAAAAAAAAAAAAAAGAAAAAAAGGCUACUUAUACAGAUUAGAGUGAUGUUCUAUUUUAGAAAGUGGUGGACAUGUGGAGGUUUCUGCAGGACCAAAAUACUGCUAACAGGUGAGUAUGUCACCACCACUGCAGUCUGACAGAAGUCCAUUAGCUUAAAAAGGGGUCUUUUAAGACAGGAAAAAAGACGACAUAAUUAGGUAGUCUGGUUCAUUGGAAACACCUCCUCUGUUUUCAACCUGGACACAUCAGGUCCUUGAUAGAAGAAAUACACAUUCAACAGUAUUUUGGGUGACUUCAAUUUCCAGUAAUAUUGUUGUACAUAGGAAAGGAGGUAUGUUUGUCUUAGGCAAUUUUGUCUUUAAAACAGACAUCAGAAGAAACAGAAAUUACAAGAGGUAGUGAAUUUAGCAAAUCUGCACAUAAAAGAAUCAUAAGAAUAAAAUGCUGCAUUUACAGCUGUAAAUGUACACACCUGUAUAAGUUAAAAAUAUAAAGCUACUUUUACUGUGUUUCUUGUUCUUUUUAAGUUCAGAGAAUGAAGUAUUCAAGUGCUGGACCUAAAGUGGUGAACCUCAUUGCAUUGGCAAAA